Molecule: ribosomal RNA, 497 nt
Filed under: uncultured bacterium
Lineage: Bacteria
Description: partial 16S ribosomal RNA
Rfam family: Bacterial small subunit ribosomal RNA
Source: RNAcentral
GAUGAACGCUGGCGGCGUGCCUAAUACAUGCAAGUCGAGCGAACAGACGAGGAGCUUGCUCCUCUGACGUUAGCGGCGGACGGGUGAGUAACACGUGGAUAACCUACCUAUAAGACUGGGAUAACUUCGGGAAACCGGAGCUAAUACCGGAUAACAUGUUGAACCGCAUGGUUCAACAGUGAAAGACGGUCUUGCUGUCACUUAUAGAUGGAUCCGCGCCGCAUUAGCUAGUUGGUAAGGUAACGGCUUACCAAGGCAACGAUGCGUAGCCGACCUGAGAGGGUGAUCGGCCACACUGGAACUGAGACACGGUCCAGACUCCUACGGGAGGCAGCAGUAGGAAAUCUUCCGCAAUGGGCGAAAGCCUGACGGAGCAACGCCGCGUGAGUGAUGAAGGUCUUCGGAUCGUAAAACUCUGUUAUUAGGGAAGAACAAAUGUGUAAGUAACUAUGCACGUCUUGACGGUACCUAAUCAGAAAGCCACGGCUAACUACGUG